RNAcentral lists this ribosomal RNA (406 nucleotides) under uncultured Macrococcus sp. RNAcentral's name for it is "bacterial SSU rRNA". It matches the Rfam family "Bacterial small subunit ribosomal RNA", at positions 957 to 1362 of the family's 1533-position model. Lineage: Bacteria; Bacillati; Bacillota; Bacilli; Caryophanales; Staphylococcaceae. The record is from RNAcentral.
UAACGCGAAGAACCUUACCAAAUCUUGACAUCCUUUGACAACUCUAGAGAUAGAGCUUUCCCCUUCGGGGGACAAAGUGACAGGUGGUGCAUGGUUGUCGUCAGCUCGUGUCGUGAGAUGUUGGGUUAAGUCCCGCAACGAGCGCAACCCUUAUCUUUAGUUGCCAUCAUUAAGUUGGGCACUCUAGAGAGACUGCCGGUGACAAACCGGAGGAAGGUGGGGAUGACGUCAAAUCAUCAUGCCCCUUAUGAUUUGGGCUACACACGUGCUACAAUGGAUGGUACAAAGGGCAGCAAAACCGCGAGGUCAAGCAAAUCCCAUAAAACCAUUCUCAGUUCGGAUUGUAGUCUGCAACUCGACUACAUGAAGCUGGAAUCGCUAGUAAUCGUAGAUCAGCAUGCUACGG